RNAcentral lists this ribosomal RNA (253 nucleotides) under uncultured bacterium. RNAcentral describes it as "partial 16S ribosomal RNA". It matches the Rfam family "Bacterial small subunit ribosomal RNA", at positions 524 to 776 of the family's 1533-position model. The record is from RNAcentral.
UACAGAGGUCUCAAGCGUUGUUCGGAUUCAUUGGGCGUAAAGAGCGUGUAGGCGGCCAGAUAGGUCUGCUGUGAAAACUCGAGGCUCAACCUCGAGCUGUCGGCGGAAACCAUUUGGCUAGAGUCCGGAAGAGGAAAGUGGAAUUCCUGGUGUAGCGGUGAAAUGCGCAGAUAUCAGGAAGAACACCCGUGGCGAAGGCGGCUUUCUGGGACGGUACUGACGCUGAGACGCGAAAGCGUGGGGAGCGAACAGG